RNAcentral lists this transfer RNA (74 nucleotides) under Candidatus Nitrosoglobus terrae. RNAcentral's name for it is "tRNA-Gln". It matches the Rfam family "tRNA". From Rfam's summary of the family: Transfer RNA (tRNA) molecules are approximately 80 nucleotides in length. Their secondary structure includes four short double-helical elements and three loops (D, anti-codon, and T loops). The record is from RNAcentral. Lineage: Bacteria; Pseudomonadati; Pseudomonadota; Gammaproteobacteria; Chromatiales; Chromatiaceae.
UGGGGGAUCGUCUAGCGGUAGGACAGCGGACUCUGACUCCGCUAACCUAGGUUCGAAUCCUAGUCCCCCAGCCA